AUUGAUGGACCCUUAGAACAAGUUUUAGCACUGAUGCUGUCAUAGCAACAUUUUCGUAGGUUGUUUUUUCUUCAAACAAAAACAAUCUACAAAAAUGGAAGCUGCAACUGUUUGCAGUUAAUUACUAUUGUGAAAAAAAUACUACUUUAUAGUGAAGUUUUACCUAUUUAAAGCCAUUAGAAAACUAAAAGUGAAUCUCUAAACCCGCAUCGCAAGCCAUAUCCCUUUUACCAAUAACAGUAUGACUCUAAUUUUAUGGCCCCGGAACCGCUCAGUCCCGGAAGGGAACUGGCAUAGACCCCUAGCUACUGCUGUAGACAUGGCAGCCGUCUAGGGUGGGCGCAGAUUGCAGAAGGCCUCUUUUUGCUCAGGGUCUUUGGUGCGGGAAGGCUAUCGGAAGCGUGAAUAUAGGUGCUUGGUCGAUAAGAUGGUCGGUUAGUCGUUGGACGAUAAUGCGACGGUCGGGUGCCUUGACGGU
Molecule: long non-coding RNA, 478 nt
Organism: Armigeres subalbatus
Lineage: Eukaryota; Metazoa; Arthropoda; Insecta; Diptera; Culicidae
Exons: 3
Source: RefSeq, a predicted model, not a curated record